CCUGUCAAGAGGCCACAUGGACAUACACAUUGUGCAAUUCUUCCCAUCUUGAUGGGGACUUUUGGGAUUGCAGGAUUCAUGAGCUAUUUCACUUGAGGAAAAUGUAGCUUGCUCUUAAGGCCCCCUUGUUAAAAAUAAGCUGCUGUCUAUGUGGUUCUCCUACAUAGGGAAACCAAAUCCUUUUGUUGGUCAGCUGGAAAUCUGCUCAGCCACCUGAGAUUCAUUGUGGAUGAAAGUGUUUACAAUGCUUGGUAUGAGGAAAUGCAGGUAUGGACACACAUCCAUAUCUGAUGCAAACAUAUACAGAAGAGGAAUUCCCACAAAAUAAAUAA
RNAcentral lists this long non-coding RNA (332 nucleotides) under Anas platyrhynchos platyrhynchos (common mallard). RNAcentral describes it as "lncRNA (ENSAPLG00000022964.1)". The record is from RNAcentral. Lineage: Eukaryota; Metazoa; Chordata; Aves; Anseriformes; Anatidae.